Molecule: long non-coding RNA, 726 nt
Organism: Perca fluviatilis (European perch)
Lineage: Eukaryota; Metazoa; Chordata; Actinopteri; Perciformes; Percidae
Exons: 5
Source: RefSeq, a predicted model, not a curated record
ACUUCAUUUUGUCUGUUGGGAGUUGAAGUUGAAGCUCCUUUUCUACACAGACCUGCUGAGGACAGAAUAGAUCUGCACACUGAUGAAGUUCAUGGCUGAAAGUUCAGUUUUUCUGUGUUAAAAAGGAGCUGAGCAGGAGAGACGACAUUUUAAAACCUGUUUCCUUGUGUGCUUCGAGUCUUCGCUGGAAAAAACAACUCAAGUCCAAAUUAAAGUCUAAAGAUGAAGGUGUGGACUCUGCUAUGAGUCAGUGUGAGGACAGAGAGGAGGGAGUCCCUCCCUCUAAAACCACUCUGUGCGGGAACAUGACAGCCAGACCAAAGCUCAGAGCCCAGAGAAGCAGCCCAGACCUGGACCUGGACCUGGAUCUGGACCUUUCAUUAAUUUAAAACAACAUGACAAAAAGAUCCAUCAGAGACCAGACUGUCCUGAACCUGAACCCAGCUGUGUGUCCAUGAAGAGUGACCACUCUAUGCCUUGUUAUGUAGUCUUCAAAGAUGGAUGCCACUCUGAUGAUCAAAGGUGAGCAGAAGUUAAAUGUUAAAUUACACUUCAUUCAAGUCAUUUAUUUUGCAGUUACUGUAUACCUGUCUACUACCAACAUAAUAUAUAUUUUAACUUAACUGCAAUAUAUACUGCUUCACUGUAAUUGUGCAUUUGACAAAUAACUUUAAAGUGAUGGUUCAGAGUAAUUUCACCCUAGGGUCCUUUGCACCAUGACCUCGA